Molecule: unclassified non-coding RNA, 391 nt
Filed under: soil metagenome
Description: partial contains 5.8S ribosomal RNA, internal transcribed spacer 2, and large subunit ribosomal RNA
Rfam family: 5.8S ribosomal RNA (bases 1-122)
Source: RNAcentral
GAUGAAGAACGCAGCGAAAUGCGAUACUUGGUGUGAAUUGCAGAAUCCCGUGAACCAUCGAGUCUUUGAACGCAAGUUGCGCCCGAAGCCAUUAGGCCGAGGGCACGCCUGCCUGGGCGUCACACGUCGUUGCCCCCCCAUCUACUCCUUCGGGAUUGCGGGGGGCGGAUGAUGGCCUCCCGUGCGCCUCGUCGCGCGGUUGGCCUAAAUGCCAAGUCCUCGGCGACGCACGCCACGACAAUCGGUGGUUGCGAAACCUCGGUUGCCUGUCGUGUGCGGUCGUCGCGCAUCGAGGGCUCGAAAAAAUUGCCGGGCUUCGGCUCGACUUUCAACGCGACCCCAGGUCAGGCGGGGUUACCCGCUGAGUUUAAGCAUAUCAAUAAGCGGAGGA